RNAcentral lists this ribosomal RNA (253 nucleotides) under uncultured bacterium. RNAcentral describes it as "partial 16S ribosomal RNA". It matches the Rfam family "Bacterial small subunit ribosomal RNA", at positions 524 to 776 of the family's 1533-position model. The record is from RNAcentral.
GACAGAGGUGCCGAGCGUUAGGCGGAAUCACUGGGCUUAAAGCGUGUGUAGGCGGAUGCCUAAGUGCCUUGUGAAAUCCCACGGCUUAACCGUGGAACUGCUUGGUAUACUGGGUGUCUUGAGCCACUUAGGGGCGACCGGAACAAACGGUGGAGCGGUGAAAUGCGUAGAUAUCGUUUGGAACGCCAAUGGUGAAAACAGACUGCUGGGGUUGCGCCGACGCUGAGACACGAAAGCCAGGGGAGCAAACGGG